CAAUAGCGUAUAUUUAAGUUGCUGCAGUUAAAAAGCUCGUAGUUGGAUUUCGGGUGGGAAUGGCCGGUCCGCCGUUUCGGUGUGCACUUGCUACGCCCACCUUGCUGCCGGGGACGUGCUCUUGAGUUCACGCUCGGGACACGGAGUCGGCGAGGUUACUUUGAGUAAAUUAGAGUGUUCAAAGCAGGCGUUUUGCUCGAAUAUAUUAGCAUGGAAUAAUAGAAUAGGACGAUUGGUUCUAUUUUGUUGGUUUCUAGGACCAUCGUAAUGAUUAAUAGGGACGGUCGGGGGCAUCAGUAUUCAGUUGUCAGAGGUGAAAUUCUUGGAUUUACUGAAGACUAACUACUGCGAAAGCAUUUGUCAAGGACGUUUUCAUUAA
This 379-nucleotide ribosomal RNA is filed under the name uncultured eukaryote. RNAcentral's name for it is "partial 18S ribosomal RNA". It matches the Rfam family "Eukaryotic small subunit ribosomal RNA", at positions 592 to 976 of the family's 1831-position model. The record is from RNAcentral.